GUUUCUUCAUCAGAACAGAGUCAUUCAUACUAGCAUCUUCCUCUCCACAGGGAGGCAGGAGACCCACGGGAGGGCGGAGCAUGACUUUUGUCCAGGAGGCUGGACUACCGACUUCAGCAGGGACUGUGCUUGGAGCAGGUGGGGGAGGUGAGAGCCAUGAGUCAAAUCGUGGGGUCAGGGCACUGCAGCACCAGAUCCUCCUUCUGAAGGACUCGUUGCCCCAGCUGUUGGGA
This 233-nucleotide long non-coding RNA is filed under the name Bos indicus x Bos taurus (hybrid cattle). RNAcentral's name for it is "lncRNA (ENSBIXG00005029993.1)". The record is from RNAcentral. Lineage: Eukaryota; Metazoa; Chordata; Mammalia; Artiodactyla; Bovidae.